Long non-coding RNA from Rhea pennata, 1085 nucleotides. RefSeq lists it as uncharacterized. The record is from RefSeq and is a predicted model, not a curated record. The transcript has 3 exons. Lineage: Eukaryota; Metazoa; Chordata; Aves; Rheiformes; Rheidae.
UCCAGGGAGGAAGACCCCCCUUAGAUCCUUGAAAGCCAUGGAUCCCAGCACAGCUGCACCAUCCUCUCAGAUGGCUCAAGAGGGCAAAUCAGUAGCCACCAAAGGUGCUCAUUUCCUUUACAGACACUGAAGUCAAGCAGGAGGUCAAACUUCCUGAAGAAAAGAUCAGCUCACUCUCGGGAGUUUUCUAAACUGAACCUCUCUAGUCCAGGGACUAGUUGCUGCAGCUUCUCCAAGAAGAGUAAGAAACAUGCCUAAAGAAGAAGGCAGUGACCCUUGGAAGCGAGACUGGCAGUGCUAAUGGAAGGACAAGGAAGAACUUGAUUGUAAGCUCAAAUAUCCACCAAGCAAAGCACGGAGGGAAUCAGUGCUGUCAGCAGCUGGACAACGCAGUACCACACUCUAACAGGGCAACAGACCAUGUUCACUCAGGAUGUUCAACACGGUUGCUGGAAUAAGUUUCGCAAGUGUGCUGUGUCUGUAUAUUUAACAGGCAGCUAUAAUUAAGAGCUGAGGAUAGUGUGAUAGAGACAUCCAAGCUACCAGAAACAGCACCAUUCUAGCCUGCUCUUUUUGCUGUGCAAGUAGCCCAACAUCCAUUCCACGCAGUCAGCAUGUCUGCUUCCCCGUUCGCAUACCCACUGGCUUGCCCCUCUCUCAAGGCAAGGCUUUAACCCCUGCAGAUGCAGAGAACCUACCACUGCUGUUCCAAUCUCCUGAGCCUCCUCAGUUGCUUGCUUCCAUGCUGCAUACUUCCUACCCUACCGUAUCAGGGCCAGCUAAUAAGCAUCAAGCUUGUCAGCUAACCCAUGCAAUCAGCUCACCUCUUAACCAGAAGAAGCCCCAAACAAGCUGUGUUUUGAAGUAUUUCUUUGCUAAAGCAUCACUGAUAAACAGGUAUUUAAACUCCAGUCAAAGCAGUUAUAAUCCUCCUGAGCAGUCACAGCCUGCACCACAGUUUUCCAAUAUUUAAUCUACAUUUCACCUUGUUACAAGCUUUUCUGCCCUCAGUAACUUACAAAACAAAAUCAAUAGUCCAUCCUGUAACACAGCUGCCUGUAACUUAAUAAAAAGAUAUCACAAUA